ACCUGCAAGUGAAAUUUAUUCUCAAGGUGGCAAAAUAUCUGGAGCCUCAUCUUGAAGAGCCUUGGAAGGGCCAAGAAGGUUCUUCCUUUUCCAGGUCACUGCCAGGUUUUAGAAGACACAAUUUUUCAGCAUCUGAAGCAGGAAAUCCCAGCUCUUUUCCAUGAGAAGAAGCACAGGGAUGACAGGGCUUCCCCCCAGAACACUCCCGGGGUAAUUGCUGAAGACAUUCCAAGCCACUCUAACGAAGUGCACUGGCUGCCAGUCAUUCUGUUCUCCUUGGAAGACCAUCUGUUGCACUUCAAAUAUGUAAAGAACUGCUGGUGCCAACCAGGGACUGACUGGCACGGGUUUGAACUCUCCACUGCUUGAUAGAUCUGCUUCACAUGGGCCAAUUACAACAAUUCCCACCUCUGGAGCUGAAGUCGAAGCCCUUGGUCUUCCCUUCAUACCUCAGGAGGCUUUAUUUCCCAGAGAGCACGUACAGUAUUCAAAGGGCAAGUGAUGUCCAGGGUCCAAAAUUUGCCAAGCAUGGAUAUGAGUGUUCUCCAUCGUGUCUUCCUGCUCUGUAGGGCCGUACGUGGAAUUGGGAAAGGUGGUGGCUCCCAGUCAGCACAGGUAUGGCUUAAAAAUUCUCUAGCUGAUGUGUUAGUUUUCUUUCCUCUUUUGUUGAUGUUUUAGUAAUGUUUGGGUUUACUGGGAAAACUGUGUUCUGCACUUGACUGUGCUGGGAUCCUGUAGAAGGAUUUAUUGUGGUGAAUAUGUCAGGCCCAAGGAACCAGAUCCCGAACUGAGACACACAGGCUGGGUUCCUCCAAUCUGGGUGGUGAAUCAGUGCCAAAGCCAGUGUUAGACACUGAUCUUCUCUCCCAGACAUUGAGCUG
RNAcentral lists this long non-coding RNA (881 nucleotides) under Lepidothrix coronata (blue-crowned manakin). RNAcentral's name for it is "lncRNA (ENSLCOG00000009444.1)". Lineage: Eukaryota; Metazoa; Chordata; Aves; Passeriformes; Pipridae. The record is from RNAcentral.